GGGGUUGUGGCUUAGAGGUAUAGCGCUCACCUACCAUGCGUGAGGCCUUGGGUUCAAUCCUCAACCCCA
Molecule: transfer RNA, 69 nt
Filed under: Marmota monax (woodchuck)
Lineage: Eukaryota; Metazoa; Chordata; Mammalia; Rodentia; Sciuridae
Rfam family: tRNA
About the family: Transfer RNA (tRNA) molecules are approximately 80 nucleotides in length. Their secondary structure includes four short double-helical elements and three loops (D, anti-codon, and T loops).
Source: Rfam by way of RNAcentral